RNAcentral lists this ribosomal RNA (253 nucleotides) under uncultured bacterium. RNAcentral describes it as "partial 16S ribosomal RNA". It matches the Rfam family "Bacterial small subunit ribosomal RNA", at positions 524 to 776 of the family's 1533-position model. The record is from RNAcentral.
UACGGAGGGUGCAAGCGUUAAUCGGAAUUACUGGGCGUAAAGCGCACGCAGGUGGCUGAGCGAGUCGAUUGUGAAAGCCCUGGGCUUAACCUGGGAAUUGCAGUCGAUACUACUCAGCUAGAGUAUGGGAGAGGGUAGUGGAAUUCCCGGUGUAGCGGUGAAAUGCGUAGAUAUCUGGAAGAACACCGGUGGCGAAGGCGGCCUCCUGGACGGUGACUGACGCUGAGACGCGAAAGCGUGGGGAGCAAACAGG